CUCUGGUAUUGAUUGGUGCUUGCAUCAUGAUUUACAUUUGAGUGAGUGGCGAACUGGUGAGUAACACGUGGGAAACCUGCCCAGAAGCGGGGGAUAACACCUGGAAACAGAUGCUAAUACCGCAUAACAACUUGGACCGCAUGGUCCGAGUUUGAAAGAUGGCUUCGGCUAUCACUUUUGGAUGGUCCCGCGGCGUAUUAGCUAGAUGGUGAGGUAACGGCUCACCAUGGCAAUGAUACGUAGCCGACCUGAGAGGGUAAUCGGCCACAUUGGGACUGAGACACGGCCCAAACUCCUACGGGAGGCAGCAGUAGGGAAUCUUCCACAAUGGACGAAAGUCUGAUGGAGCAACGCCGCGUGAGUGAAGAAGGGUUUCGGCUCGUAAAACUCUGUUGUUAAAGAAGAACAUAUCUGAGAGUAACUGUUCAGGUAUUGACGGUAUUUAACCAGAAAGCCACGGCUAACUACGUGCCAGCAGCCGCGGUAAUACGUAGGUGGCAAGCGUUGUCCGGAUUUAUUGGGCGUAAAGCGAGCGCAGGCGGUUUUUUAAGUCUGAUGUGAAAGCCUUCGGCUCAACCGAAGAAGUGCAUCGGAAACUGGGAAACUUGAGUGCAGAAGAGGACAGUGGAACUCCAUGUGUAGCGGUGAAAUGCGUAGAUAUAUGGAAGAACACCAGUGGCGAAGGCGGCUGUCUGGUCUGUAACUGACGCUGAGGCUCGAAAGUAUGGGUAGCAAACAGGAUUAGAUACCCUGGUAGUCCAUACCGUAAACGAUGAAUGCUAAGUGUUGGAGGGUUUCCGCCCUUCAGUGCUGCAGCUAACGCAUUAAGCAUUCCGCCUGGGGAGUACGGCCGCAAGGCUGAAACUCAAAGGAAUUGACGGGGGCCCGCACAAGCGGUGGAGCAUGUGGUUUAAUUCGAAGCUACGCGAAGAACCUUACCAGGUCUUGACAUACUAUGCAAAUCUAAGAGAUUAGACGUUCCCUUCGGGGACAUGGAUACAGGUGGUGCAUGGUUGUCGUCAGCUCGUGUCGUGAGAUGUUGGGUUAAGUCCCGCAACGAGCGCAACCCUUAUUAUCAGUUGCCAGCAUUAAGUUGGGCACUCUGGUGAGACUGCCGGUGACAAACCGGAGGAAGGUGGGGAUGACGUCAAAUCAUCAUGCCCCUUAUGACCUGGGCUACACACGUGCUACAAUGGAUGGUACAACGAGUUGCGAACUCGCGAGAGUAAGCUAAUCUCUUAAAGCCAUUCUCAGUUCGGAUUGUAGGCUGCAACUCGCCUACAUGAAGUCGGAAUCGCUAGUAAUCGCGGAUCAGCAUGCCGCGGUGAAUACGUUCCCGGGCCUUGUACAC
RNAcentral lists this ribosomal RNA (1351 nucleotides) under Lactiplantibacillus plantarum. Its description in RNAcentral is "bacterial SSU rRNA". It matches the Rfam family "Bacterial small subunit ribosomal RNA", at positions 70 to 1388 of the family's 1533-position model. The record is from RNAcentral. Lineage: Bacteria; Bacillati; Bacillota; Bacilli; Lactobacillales; Lactobacillaceae.